UGGAGAGAAUAGAAACAAUAGAGGAUAUUAGUAUUUUAUAGUUAGAGGUGAAAUUCUAUGAUUUAUGAAAGACUAACAGGGGCGAAAGCAUUUAUCUCUUGUAUGUUUAUUGAUAAAGAACGAAAGUUAGGGGAUCGAAGAUGAUUAGAUACCGUCGUAGUCCUAGACUAUAAACAAUACUAACUAUGGAUUUGGGGGGCCAACAAUGUAUUCUAUUACAUUGAAAGGGCGCGUGAGGACAUUGCGAGAAAUCAUUGAGUAUUUGAGUUCCGGGGGGAGUAUGGUUGCAAGACUGAAACUUAAAGGAAUUGACGGAGGGGCACCACAAGGCGUGGA
RNAcentral lists this ribosomal RNA (336 nucleotides) under uncultured alveolate. RNAcentral's name for it is "partial Eukaryotic small subunit ribosomal RNA". It matches the Rfam family "Eukaryotic small subunit ribosomal RNA", at positions 864 to 1180 of the family's 1831-position model. The record is from RNAcentral.